This 462-nucleotide ribosomal RNA is filed under the name uncultured bacterium. Its description in RNAcentral is "partial 16S ribosomal RNA". It matches the Rfam family "Bacterial small subunit ribosomal RNA", at positions 28 to 507 of the family's 1533-position model. The record is from RNAcentral.
GACGAACGCUGGCGGCGUGCUUAACACAUGCAAGUCGAACGGAAAGGCCCUUCGGGGUACUCGAGUGGCGAACGGGUGAGUAACACGUGGGUGAUCUGCCCUGCACUUUGGGAUAAGCCUGGGAAACUGGGUCUAAUACCGAAUAGGACCACGCGCUUCAUGGUGUGUGGUGGAAAGCUUUUGCGGUGUGGGAUGGGCCCGCGGCCUAUCAGCUUGUUGGUGGGGUAAUGGCCUACCAAGGCGACGACGGGUAGCCGGCCUGAGAGGGUGACCGGUCACACUGGGACUGAGAUACGGCCCAGACUCCUACGGGAGGCAGCAGUGGGGAAUAUUGCACAAUGGGCGCAAGCCUGAUGCAGCAACGCCGCGUGAGGGAUGACGGCCUUCGGGUUGUAAACCUCUUUCAAUAGGGACGAAGCGCAAGUGACGGUACCUAUAGAAGAAGCACCGGCCAACUACGUG